GAAUUAUUUCUGAUUUAAAAUGCUAUUUCUGUUAUCUUCAGCGAGAAGGCAGUCCAGGAAGAAGCAGAAACGUAUGGUGGUUUCAAUUGAAAAGCCCAGUAGAGGCAGACAGCAGAUUUGCAUCAUGGGGACAAACCAGUUGUUGAGCCAUGUAACCAGGGAACAGGUACAGACAUGUCACACAUUGUUAUUGUCACAACCCGAUUGUCAUUUCUGUUUCGUAUUUUAGAGGACCAUGUUAAUCGUAUGGGAUCUGUUCUGCCGUGUAAUCCCACCAGGUUCAAAGUUGAAGAACUGCCCAAGUGUUGCAAUAUCACGGAGGUUCAUACAGCGCUUGAAAUAUAGAGAAGUUAAUAUGUUUACAGAAUUUGUUCCAGAAAUGGGGGCGGCGGGGUAGCCUAGUGGUUAAAGCGUUCGCUCAUCACGCUGAAGACCCGGGUUCGAUUCCCCACAUGGGUACAAUGUAUGAAGCCCAUUUCUGGUGUUCCCCGCCGUGAUAUUGCUGGAAUAUUGCUAAACAUGGCGUAAAACCAUACUCACUCACUCAUUGUUCCAGAACUGUUUUUUAGAACUAUUAAUAUCCAGCUUCUCGUGGAACAUACAGCCAUGAACUUGCUGAAUUGUUGAAUGACAGCCUCCAUGAAAAAACCUUGGAUAUGCCACUUGGCAAUUCAAGAAGGCCUCAA
This is a long non-coding RNA of Haliotis rufescens (red abalone), 686 nucleotides long. RefSeq lists it as uncharacterized. NCBI's taxonomy places the organism in Eukaryota, Metazoa, Mollusca, Gastropoda, Lepetellida, Haliotidae. The record is from RefSeq and is a predicted model, not a curated record. The transcript is spliced from 2 exons.